This 253-nucleotide ribosomal RNA is filed under the name uncultured bacterium. Its description in RNAcentral is "partial 16S ribosomal RNA". It matches the Rfam family "Bacterial small subunit ribosomal RNA", at positions 524 to 776 of the family's 1533-position model. The record is from RNAcentral.
UACGAAGGGGGCGAGCGUUGUUCGGAUUUACUGGGCGUAAAGGGCGCGCAGGCGGUCUUGAAAGUCAGGCGUGAAAGCCCCGGGCUUAACCUGGGAAUUGCGCUUGAUACUCUGAGACUGGAGUACGGGAGAGGAGAGUGGAAUUCCCAGUGUAGAGGUGAAAUUCGUAGAUAUUGGGAAGAACACCCGUGGCGAAGGCGGCUCUCUGGAACGCAACUGACGCUGAGACGCGAAAGCGUGGGGAGCAAACAGG